RNAcentral lists this ribosomal RNA (468 nucleotides) under uncultured bacterium. RNAcentral's name for it is "partial 16S ribosomal RNA". It matches the Rfam family "Bacterial small subunit ribosomal RNA", at positions 28 to 507 of the family's 1533-position model. The record is from RNAcentral.
GACGAACGCUGGCGGCGGGCUUAACACAUGCAAGUCGAACGGAAAGGCCCUGCUUGCGUGGGGUGCUCGAGUGGCGAACGGGUGUAUAACGCGUGAGUAACCUGCCCUUGAGUUUGGUAUAACCUCAGGAAACUGGUGCUAAUACCAGAAAGGCGCACCUCAGCCAUGUGGGGUGUUGGAAAGUUUCGGAGGUAGGGGAUGGCCUCGCGGCUUAUAAGUGUGUUGGUGGGGUAGUGGCUUACCAAGGCAUUGACGGGAAGCGGGCCUGAGAGGGGGACCGGCAACAUUGGGACUGAGCUACGGCCGAGACUCCUAAGGGAGGCAGCAGUGGGGAAUAUUGCACAAUGGGCGGAAGCCUGAUGCAGCAACGCGGCGUGCGGGAUGACGGCCUUCGGGUUGUAAACCGCUUUCGCCUGUGACGAAGCGUGAGUGACGGUAAUGUGUAAAGAAGCACCGGCUAACUCCGUG